AAGAAAAAAAAUGGAAAUUAAGUGUAAAUAUAAAUAUAUAUAUUUAUAUAUUAAAUAGUUUUAUUAAAUUAAUUAAAGAAAAGAAAGAAAAGAAAGGACAAAAAGAAGAAAAGGAGAAGAAAAUUUCAUUUUCUCUUUUCUUCUUCUUCUUCUCUUCCCUUCACCGCCAAGUUUGAAGACAUCCAAGUUCCCUUUAUUUUUUUGUUCUUUUUCCUUCUUCAAUUUGCAGAGAACUUCUAAGAGAGAGUUUGGAAGAAGAAGAGAAAUUUUACUAGAAUUUUUAGGUUGAAGAAGAGGAGGAGAACUCAAGCAAAGUGUAUCAAUGGCUGAAUUUUAGUUCAUUCUGCACAUCACUGGUUUUUAAUUCGGUUUGAACUCUUCAAAAGGAAUUAAGAGGGCAGUUGGUUUUCACUCGAAAUCAGGAGGUCUCUGGUUUUUCUUGUAUUUCAGAGUGUAUCGGUGGAGUUAAAAUUUAUAUUUGGAACAAGUUAAAGAGGUCGUGUGCGCGCGAUUCUGGAAGUGGUUCUGUUUUGAGGGUUAUAUGUGUUUAUGCACGGGGAAUCAGAUUUAUAUGUCUUCAGGCCGAGAAGAAUUAAACCGAGCUUAUAGACCAAGGAUCUAGCCCAAGACGGUAGAGAUCGACUUCCCGGUGCCUGAUAGACUGCCUUAGUCUGCGAAAGCUUCAUUAUCGAUUGCCAGUACGUGUUUUGAGUUGAGCAUAAAGUCUGUUGUGUUGUGAUGUAUUCACACCCUUGUAUGUUAUAGAUACUCCACAGUUUGUAUAAGCUUUAGGAGCUGUAGUUGUGUAAAUUUUGUUGGUUAUAUUUUGAUUAAGGUGUCUUUAGGUUUACUCGUGAAAUUGGUAAAUUUUGAGGUACACUUCAUGUAUGUGUUUGACUAGCUGUGUUUGACUAGCCAAGGAUCCGAUGUGUUUUGUGGCAUGUACAAUAGUUUAUAUACUAGAUUGGCAAGUUCAUCACAUGAAAGUUUUAAGCAGAGUCGACAGAUACAGGUACAGAAUAACGUUGUACGUCGGCUUCACGCCAUC
This is a long non-coding RNA of Cucumis melo (muskmelon), 1048 nucleotides long. RefSeq lists it as uncharacterized. The record is from RefSeq and is a predicted model, not a curated record. Lineage: Eukaryota; Viridiplantae; Streptophyta; Magnoliopsida; Cucurbitales; Cucurbitaceae. The transcript is spliced from 5 exons.